GGGGCCGUAGCUCAGUUGGGAGAGCGCUUGAAUGGCAUUCAAGAGGUCAGGGGUUCGACUCCCCUCGGCUCCACCA
RNAcentral lists this transfer RNA (76 nucleotides) under Rhodospirillaceae bacterium. RNAcentral describes it as "tRNA-Ala". It matches the Rfam family "tRNA". Rfam says of the family: Transfer RNA (tRNA) molecules are approximately 80 nucleotides in length. Their secondary structure includes four short double-helical elements and three loops (D, anti-codon, and T loops). The record is from RNAcentral. Lineage: Bacteria; Pseudomonadati; Pseudomonadota; Alphaproteobacteria; Rhodospirillales; Rhodospirillaceae. RNAcentral also lists the same sequence under 10 other names.